AGCCACUACAUCUGUUUCUGCUUUCUGUUUUGUUUGCGGAUCCAGUAAAAAAAAAUAAUUACAUUGGCUUUACUCCUCUAGAUCUCGUGGACUGAAUCGAGAGGUGGUGAUCCGUUAAACGAGGGAAAAGGAAGAGAGUGGAAAAAGGCGCCUUGGACAAACAAUGAUUUUUUUGCAGAGAGAGUCGUGAAGCCUGUGGAUGGACGGAUGGAUGGAUGGAGGCAGAGUGAUGGAUGAAGAAGUGGAACGUGUUGACCAAGCCCUGAAAGGCCCAAUGCUUAAUCCAAAGUUGUUUGCACCGGCGGCUAGUCUGGCAGAAGGAAUAACAGGAGCAGGCACCCAGCAUCAGCAUCUCCACAGCUCAGCCCAGGGCCGUAUCUUCUCACUGCAUCCAAAGGAAGAUGGGAUACAGAAUGUUAUGAGAACUUCUUACUCAUUCAGUCCAAACGCUUGUGGGCAGCAAACAGAUUUAGACCCUCAACCUGCUCUGGUCCAGGCCUGGAGGUUCUAAAAACGUUUGCAGUUAUAAAGUCAUUAAAAGUUUGAAUGUCCUGCAGUGGAUGAGUGAAUUGUGUAUCUAUACAAAAACGAGGCGUAACGCUCAAAAAAAAAUAAGACCAUGGAAAUUCAAAGAAAUCAGACAGAUUACAUGUGACUGAGAGAUGUAAACCAAGCUGUUUAAAAGCAUCCAGAGUGAUCAUGCUGCCUAAAAAACUAACAUUUUUAUUUCCAAAAAAUGAAAAAUAUCCAGUAUGCCGAUUGCAUUUUUGUUGCGAAAAAACAACAAAGAUUAACUUCUUUUCAAAAUCGGACCAGUUUAUUUUGCAGCUGGUGUACGAACAGAGAUAAAAACAAAUAAAUAUCAAUAUCAAAUCACAACAGGACUUGUACACACAUAUGCAUCACUUAAUAUUAAAUACUAAAAUGAGGCGCCUAAUGUGGUAUAAAAGCAGACGCAUUAGGUCUGAUUUGUGCUAAGCUGGUCCACUCUUUUCUUGUCUGGGGCCUAAAUGAUUUUGAUUAAAUUAGAAGCGUUCAUAAUUUACUGGGAAAAUUGUAAAAUAAGUCAGUGCCAGCACACAACAGUGAUUUGUACCAAGUGAAAAACACUCUCAAGGAUUGAGGAUUUUGGCUGACCUUCCAGACCAAAGAGCUUUUUAUCUUAAAUGUUAGGAAAUGAAACCAUUUGUGUUUGCUUGAAUUAUCCAUGAUUGGAGCCAGACCUACCAAAUUAGAUGGAAAAAUGUUUGUCAUUUGAGGUGAAAUAACAUAUUAGAUAGAAGAUUGCUAUUUAGCAAUAGCAAUCUUCAAGAGCUAUUUGAAAUACCUGUCAAAGCAAACAGAACACAUUAACAUCAAUCACACUUAUUACAUUGAUGUUUUCCUUUUAGUGGUCAAGCUGACUGACACAAAUAUUUCUCUUUCGCGUAUUAUUUUAUACUGCCUGUUUGAACGAACAAGGGAAGCU
Long non-coding RNA from Gasterosteus aculeatus aculeatus (three-spined stickleback), 1468 nucleotides. The record is from Ensembl. Lineage: Eukaryota; Metazoa; Chordata; Actinopteri; Perciformes; Gasterosteidae.